Molecule: transfer RNA, 49 nt
Filed under: Ulva sp. A AF-2021
Lineage: Eukaryota; Viridiplantae; Chlorophyta; Ulvophyceae; Ulvales; Ulvaceae
Description: tRNA-Gln
Source: RNAcentral
CCGAGGCUUGCCACCUUUGAAGUGGGACUAAGUUUAACGCCCUUCGGAC